Molecule: ribosomal RNA, 497 nt
Filed under: uncultured bacterium
Lineage: Bacteria
Description: partial 16S ribosomal RNA
Rfam family: Bacterial small subunit ribosomal RNA
Source: RNAcentral
GAUGAACGCUGGCGGCGUGCCUAAUACAUGCAAGUAGAACGCUGAAGGAAGGAGCUUGCUCUUUCCGGAUGAGUUGCGAACGGGUGAGUAACGCGUAGGUAACCUGCCUGGUAGCGGGGGAUAACUAUUGGAAACGAUAGCUAAUACCGCAUAACAGUAGAUGUUGCAUGAUAUCUACUUAAAAGGUGCAAUUGCACCACUACCAGAUGGACCUGCGUUGUAUUAGCUAGUUGGUGAGGUAACGGCUCACCAAGGCGACGAUACAUAGCCGACCUGAGAGGGUGAUCGGCCACACUGGGAAUGAGACACGGCCCAGACUCCUACGGGAGGCAGCAGUAGGGAAUCUUCGGCAAUGGACGGAAGUCUGACCGAGCAACGCCGCGUGAGUGAAGAAGGUUUUCGGAUCGUAAAGCUCUGUUGUAAGAGAAGAACGAGUGUGAGAGUGGAAAGUUCACACUGUGACGGUAUCUUACCAGAAAGGGACGGCUAACUACGUG